CGCCACGCGGAGGAGGCAGUCCGAUUACCAAAGCGCGAAGUGUACUUUGUCCACGUGGGGAGAGAGCACUCUGUGAGAGCAUUUUGGCCUCAGUAUGGAAAAGUGGAUUCCUGAAGUCUACACGGUUCAGCAGCUGUGGUCAAGAGGCCACCAGAGACAAGGUCUCUCUCAGGACAACUACGGCACUACACCAUCUAGCUGGCGCUUCUCCUAGCUUAUACUCCAGGUUCAACUCACCUGCCCUGGAGGGGGCAGAGCUUUAUGCCACCCAUCAGUCAUUCAGAACUCAGCAGAAGAGAACAAGAGACUGUGAGCACUUGGAGCUGGGAGUCCAGGACAGACAGCAAAGUACAGAGCCCACAAAGAUGGAGGGACUAAGAAAAAAAACUCACCUCUUUCACAAACUGUUCAAGCAGAUUAGAGGCCAAUGUCUACGCCCUUACCU
This is a long non-coding RNA of Fukomys damarensis (Damara mole-rat), 445 nucleotides long. RefSeq lists it as uncharacterized. The record is from RefSeq and is a predicted model, not a curated record. The transcript has 3 exons. NCBI's taxonomy places the organism in Eukaryota, Metazoa, Chordata, Mammalia, Rodentia, Bathyergidae.